Molecule: long non-coding RNA, 779 nt
Organism: Marmota monax (woodchuck)
Lineage: Eukaryota; Metazoa; Chordata; Mammalia; Rodentia; Sciuridae
Exons: 7
Source: RefSeq, a predicted model, not a curated record
CUGGGAGGCGGCGGUCCAUCCUCCUCAGGUCAACCCCAUCUUAAGGACAGGUGGGGGACGGAACGCCUGGAAGGCCCGAUACUGUCUUCAUGCCUUGUGCUGUCAGCCUAGGUCCUUCACAUUUCCUAGUCUGGUCCAGUGACUUGCUGAUGAAAAUCUGCUGAUGAGAAUGAAUUAUACGAAUAUAGAGGGGUGCCUCUAAGUUGACGAAGCUGGUCAUGAACUUGGAAUCUUCCUGCUUCAGCCUCCUGAGUCUCUGGGAUUACCUGUGUGUGCCACCAAACCCAUCUUUUGGCCUGGCAAUCCUCCUGGCUUAUGUUCCUGCACUGCUGUGGUUGGCUGUAACAGAGUAGAAGAUGCCCAGGGAUGAUGCAAAAAGAAAGCCUUCACCAGAUAGGGCCCUGGAUGUUGGAUAUCUCAGCUUCCAGGAUGACCACAAAGAUUAAAUGACUUUCCCAACAUCCUACAACUAAUAAAAGCUGAUGUUUGGGGCUGGAGUUGUGGCUUAGAGACAAGUCAAUGGAAGCUACUAAGUCAAUGGAAAAUACUAAGAAGCUUACCCUUGGACAUAGUUUGAAAUAAAGGAGCUGCAAUUCAAACUUGGGAAAUCUUCCUCAAGGGCCUACCUGUAAACCAUUUAACUAUAGAGUAAGUAUAGUGGCUUUGUAAUGUACCAACUUGGACAGGACAAAUUAUACUGCCCAGAAUUCCCUUUUAUGUGCAUUUUCAGGUAGCAUGGGCAUCAAAAGAGAUUCUUGUGGAAUAUUUGCACGGUGGAG